CAUAAGGUAGUUUAUUAAAAUACUGGUUUUGGAAAUCAGAGAAGUUAAGUAUUUAAUCCUUUUGA
This 65-nucleotide transfer RNA is filed under the name Lepas anatifera. Its description in RNAcentral is "tRNA-Pro". The record is from RNAcentral. Lineage: Eukaryota; Metazoa; Arthropoda; Thecostraca; Lepadidae.